UUUUGCGCAAUGGGCGAAAGCCUGACGCAGCAACGCCGCGUGGAGGAUGAAGGCCUUCGGGUCGUAAACUCCUGUCAGUGGGGACGAAUGCCUCGCAAGAGGUUUGACUGUACCCGUUGAGGAAGCCACGGCUAACUCCGUGCCAGCAGCCGCGGUAAUACGGAGGUGGCAAGCGUUGUUCGGAAUUACUGGGCGUAAAGGGCGCGUAGGCGGCUUGGCAAGUCAGAUGUGAAAGCCCCGGGCUUAACCCGGGAAUUGCAUCUGAAACUGCUUUGCUUGAGUCCUGGAGGGGGAAGUGGAAUUCCCAGUGUAGCGGUGAAAUGCGUAGAUAUUGGGAGGAACACCUGCGGCGAAGGCGGCUACCUGGACAGUGACUGACGCUGAGGCGCGAAAGCUAGGGGAGCGAACGGG
This 411-nucleotide ribosomal RNA is filed under the name uncultured bacterium. RNAcentral describes it as "bacterial SSU rRNA". It matches the Rfam family "Bacterial small subunit ribosomal RNA", at positions 362 to 776 of the family's 1533-position model. The record is from RNAcentral.